CGAUCUAUAAAUAAAACCUGACAUGCAAAAAGGUACCAGAAAUAUAAAAAAGUAAAAUUAAGAACAUAUUCUAUCACUUAAAGCACUUGGCAUCCAAGAGAGGCUCUCCCUCAAAUGGCUCGCAGUCUUCAAUCAUCUGAUUCACCCGUUCCUUCUGGGCUGCAUCUGACAGGUCAACCUUCUUCCACUCGUAGAGUUCCAUGUCAUAGCACUCGUCAAUCACAAAUUGAGGAAUCUCUUGCCCACGGAAAAGCCAUAGUCCUUUCACCUUGAAUGGAGGGUUAGCACCGAUCACCAACAUCUUCCCAAAUGCAUACUUGCGGGCCAAAUCCAUUCUCUGCAGGAAUCCUCCAACCUUGUUCAUUGUGACAAAUGAAACUGUAUUCUCCUCAUUGUACUUGUAGUCACAAAACCACAGUGAGUAUCCCUCGGGAUCAUACAUGUCCCAGAAUCCUGACACGAAUCAAGUAUCAGAUAUCACAAGCCCAAACAUUGCUUUUAAAAGGGAGUGCUACUGUGAAAACAACAGGGAUACCUUUAAUUGCAACCUCUCGGAAAUUGGUCUUUGUGUUAGAGUAAAGCCUCUUCCAGUCAUCCAGUACCAUCUUACUUGGAGGCAGCAAAUCAAGAGGAUUCUUUGGUUUGGGCUUUGGUGCCUCCUCCUCCUCAGCUGCCUCUGCCUUUGCUGCCUGUUUCUCAACCUCCUUUUUGGCUUCUUUCUUUGGUUCAGCCUUUGGUUUAGUUUCUUUUGGCUGGGCAGCAGGCUUCUUUGAAGGAACAGGUGGUAGAGAGACUGCCUGCUUCACUUCACCAAGAAUCUUCUUGAUUUUUGGCUGAUUAACCAAGGUCCAAAAGUACCUCUCAACAUGAGGGAACUCCGAGGUAAAACUCUUAGUCAUGAUCUGGGAGAAACCCAAGUAGAGGUUACAUGUCAUGAUAAUGUCAGCAAGGGUGACAAAAUGUCCAACAAGAAAUGUGUUGGAAGCAAGAUGAGUGUUCAAAGCGCCAAGGGCUCUCUUCAAUGCAGCAAUAGCAGCUUCCUCAGCCUACAUGCAAAAUACAUAUAAGAGAUUAAAAUGAAAUAGGUAGGCAAAAUCAUACCAUUGAAUUAAAAUGAACUACUACUGAAUUACAAAAAUAAAAUUUAACUCUUAAUAUAGAUUAAUAAAUACAUCAGAAUGGGGGAGAAAACAACCUAGUCUCUUAAAAAAAUAAUGAGGAGAAAACCCAUGCCUACUUGAUUAUCAAUGCAAUGGGCAUUCCCUUCAACCAAAAUUACUUAAUAGUGCUUGAGUUGAUUCCUUUCCAGAAACUAUGCAGGGGAAAACACUACCACAUUAAGCAUGUACUAAAUGUUGUCUAACUAAUCCUCUCUAAAAUAAAUAAAACAAGAAUCAUAGACAGGUAAUCAAUGCCAAUUUUCCCUUCACCAUUCCCUCCUUAAUAUUUUGUAUUUCAAUGACUAAGUUGCCUUAUUCCAAUUUUAACAUAGGACCUAUUGUCUUAUAAUUAGAAAGAAACAAAGACUAAGUAUGGCCCCAGCAAAUCAAGCCCAAUUAAAAUGACAAAAGAAUCUGCGAGGAAAGACAGUAGAACUUACUGGAGGAAGGUAAACACCGUAACCAAGUCUUGGAUACAACCAUUUUGCAAUAUUAGCAUCAAUUUCCAUGGCUGCAAAAUCAAUCCAUUGCUCGAUAUGACCCUAAGAAAGCCAAAGUAAUACAUACAAACAAUUACUUCCAUGGUUUAAAAUAAACUUAACUGAUGACAGAAGAAUACAAGACCAUUGUACUAUAAGAAUCUUACAUAAUCAAUCAAUGUAGAACCACAUAUAGGGUUGUUAACCUUUGAGCGAGCAACUGCAGAGAAAAGUAUACCAAUAAGUAAAAACAAACAUUAGAGGAAGAAAAUUUAGGAUAUGGAGUCAGCAGAUCUUCUCACCAUAACGAGCAAUGGCAUUGCUCUCAAAUACAGGACCCUCAGGUGUUUCCAACACAGGAACCUAGAAGAGUUAUAAAUAUCUUCAGUGAACAGACCUAGAAAAAAGGUUACAUAACAUGUAUAAAAAAAAUUCUCUAGUUUAAAUCUAUUAAUAGGCGUUACAAGGUCACCUUCCCCAAAGGGUUCAUCUUGAUGAACUCAGGAGUCUUAUUUGACACACCCAUCUCAAAAUUUUCAACCAUUUUGACCUGCACACCACUAUAUUCUGCAGCAAUGAGUGCCUUAAAGGCAUUUUUGUUUGUUUUUCCUGCAUGCAAGACCUGCAUGUAAAUCAACACACCACAUUGAUUAGAAGAACCGGUUGAUUAAGAAGUUGAAUUGAAUGUCAAACACCAGUCAAUCCCUACAACGAAUCCAGUAAAAUCCUGAAAUUGAUCCUUUUCGCCCCAUAAAUUCUCUUAAAGACCAUUCACUUUACAUUCUAAACUACUAACCGGUACUUAGCAUUUCCAUCUACCAUACACAAUUAACCUAAUUGACGUAACAUCUCGCCAUCCAUCUUUCUUCUGGUCAAUGGUUCCCAGUUGAAAUCGAAGGUGGUAGAGUUAAAAUCAAAAUCAAUUUUUUUAUCGUUAUGAUUAGUAUCUACAAAUCCAUAAACUAUUCCAUUGAUAGUAAUUAUAUAAAACAUAUUCAAUGUGCCACUUCUUUCGCAAUGUAAAAAAGCUAGUUACAAUUUUCACUUUCUAAUUCUACUCGAAAUAACUUCCACUUAAUCAUUAGGUGUCAAUUCUUUCAACAGUUAAACUACCAAAAGAAAUGAAACUAAUAUAUAUGCACAGAUAUAAAGCUUACCAGAGCCAUGGCUUGAUAGAAAAGAGCGCUACGAUUUGAGAACUGAGAUCUGGAAAAAAAAAAACAGAGAACAAAAUAAAAGGAAUAAGGAAAAAUAUUCAAGCAGGAGAACUUGAUUCCCAUGUAUUAAGGAGUAAAAAUGAGAGAAAGGAUUAAGAAAGAACCUUGAAGACGAAAUCGCAGCGAGAAGGAGCGGGAGAGACUGCGGGACAAAGAGAGAAUAAAAGAAAGGGGGACUAGGGUUUUUGUAGAGUAGAGCGAGUGUGAUGUGGGGUUAUCAGUUCGGGUUCCGGUUUAGAUCCAGAUUUACUAACCCCUUUCUUUUUCCGGUUUUUUUAAGCGUGUCUUUGAGGUAAUAAGUCAUUUCAAGAAUAAUUAAAUAAAAAUAAAUUAUAUAAAAAAUUCUCAUAACCAUUGAACCAUUGUUUUUCUCCAAUUUUCCUUUUCACAACAGUUUUGCUUUUUAUGUAAUUACACACAACUAAUUGAUCUGAAUCGAUUGGAUCACUAAUUUUUAAUUUAAUUGUUUAGAUCACUCUGAACAACACUACUUUUCUCAAAUUUUUUAUCUUGUGUCUAUUUUUUUUAUUACCAAUAUAAAUUAACUUGGAGUAUAAUGAUUUAUAUUUUUGCUCAUGCUUGAGGUUGUUUGUUUAGAUAAAAGUUAACUCAAGUGAGUUGUAUUUAAUUAAAAACUCUAUUGGUUUGAGUUCAAACAUUAUUAUAUGUGAAGUUUUAUUUUUUAAAAAGAUUAAACUACCCUCGAAUAAUCUAAUUUAUUUUAAAUAUGAAAAACAUUUUUGUAAUUUUUUGAGUUGAUGUCCGGUUAACUCGUAUCACUAACUCAACCAAGGGUUUAAAUAAUAGUAUAGAUUAUUGCAUUUUAAUUAAUUUUUAGAAGGAAUUAUUUCUAAAAAUAUGUUUUUUUGGUGCACCUCAAUAGUCAACACUAAUAACUCAUUUCCCUAAACUCUAGACCCCUAAUUUCAACAAAGUGUAUAAUUGUUGAAAUGUCCACUUGUUGGUCUAAGUGACAAACGCAAAGCACCAAGAUCAUUUUUUAUGCACUAAAUCAUCCACGGUGUUAUUAUAUUGGUUUACCUCAAAUCAAACAAUUUUUACUGAUCCCCAUUGUAACUACUACAAUAGAAAAUCUUACCCAUGCCCCUAAACCUAACAUUCAACUCGAUGAUUUUUGUUAAUCAUCGUGCUUAAACAAACCCAUAAAAAGUUUACAUGUAUAAUUGAAAAACCUUAACCUAUCUCCUUAAACCGUAAAUCCCCAUAGUUGUGGGUUGAGUAAGCUAGAAACCAUGGGGAUUUUUUGAACUUGGCAUCUCUUUCAAAUAACAUAAAAACCCUAACUUAUUUUCCUAAACCUUAACCCUAAAACUUUAAUCCCCAAACAAAACCUUAAACACUAAAUAGAAACAUUUAAUAAAUUCCCAUCAAAUUCUUUCCUCUAAGGGUUUUUAUGCAUCUCUAAUUUCAAUAAAAAGUAACCUCAACUCUCAAAUUCAGAUGCCUUUUGUGAUAAUGGAUUUCCUCAAGUGUUAGAGCGCCAAUUGAGUAUGAAAGCUUCUUUUAAACUAACUUUAAAUAGGCUUUAGGGUUUAUGAUAAACCUUGUUUAUGAUUAGUAUGAAAGAUUUCACUAUAUCAAAACAAUGUUUCAACACUUAUGGAAAACCAUGAUCUAAAUCAAGAGAGUUCAAGUUUUCCUUGAUUGAAGUUAGAUUUUGGUUGAAAUCAUUGAUCUAAAAGUGAUAGUAGCCAGAAUAGGUUGGAGGAAAUUAGUUUUAAAGGACUUUAUCAAAAUUUUAAUUUAGGGUUUAAGGUUUGAGGGGAAAAGGUAAAUAUUUAAGGGUUAAAAGAUUUUGGUUUGGGGUUAGAAGGAAAAGGUUAAGGUUCAACUCUUGUUCAUUAGGUAAAUUGACUACGAUCUUGACACCCAUGGGUUGUUCAGUUUUAGUAUUAAUAAAAUGCAAACAAAUACAUAACAAACAAUUCUUCAUCUUCCAAAAUCAAAGCUAACCACUAUUUAAAGAUAUUGAGUUUAGUACCCUAAAUGUAGUAUAUUUAUUUUGUAUAGUUGUAUUUUUCGAGAAAAUUGGUUUAAUAAAAAUAUUCAUUGAUUACAUUAAUAGCCUUUGUAUAUUAUCCUCAACGAUUUUGUAUGCAAAGAAAAAUGGAAACAAAGAUUGGCUCACUAGUUAUCUAACAUUUAACAAAUGCUAAAUGGUAUUACGUGGUCGGAUAGUAAUACAAAAAAACAACUUAUAUUAGUAGAUAAACCUAAAUAAGUCAUUAGUCUAAUUGGAAAUGAGCAAGCCGCUUUAAAGACUUAAGUCGUCUACCAAGUCCAAUUGGGGAGAUGCUUUGUCUUGAGCAUCAAAACGAAGGACUCCCAGAAGAUAGAGACAUAGAUGUCACUGACUGGACUGACAAUACAUUGGACAUGACCUAAGUAGGAUAGAUCCUAGAUUGUUUUAUGAAUUUAUUCACUUGAGACAUUCAUAGUGUGACAUACCUUAAUCCUGAGUGGAUGAUGGACUAUGCAUGUAUGACUCAUAUACUUUGAUGGAAGUAAAAGCCUAAAUUCAAAUAAAUAAGGAACCGAAAAAUCGGUAUAUUGCGUAUACGACUUCUACAACAUAUAGCAUCAUUCACAAUAGUGGAAUUCAUAGCUCAAAUAAUAAGUAAAUGAUAUCCUCUCAUUGGCAUUACAUGAUAGAUGAAAAGUAAACAUGGCCACGAGUCAUUUGUCUUUGUGAUAAAUGACUUGAUUACUAUUUAAUAGUACUAGGGACUGCAAACCCUAGUAUAUUUAACUAGGGUUGUCGCCCCGCCCUCCAAUCCUAGUUAGACUAGGAUUAUGUUUUUCUAUUGAAAUAGACUUCUAAUAAUUCAACAAGGGUUUCAAUUCUUCUCCCUAUAAAUAGAUGGAAACAGUAAGGCUAAAUACAAAACUUUGAGAUAUUGUUAUUCUGCCCGAAAAUAGUGAGAAUUUAUUUUCUAAGUAUAAAUUCUAUUUUCUAGAAUAACAAUUCUAUUGGUUUAUAUUAAAGAGAGAUUUUCUUUUCCACUAAAAGUAAAGUAAAUAAUUUAUGGUUCUGUGCUUUAUUUGAAUUUGUUCGAGCCCACAAUCGAAGUAGUUCGUGGUACAGGAAUAACAAAGAAGGCCAUUCGAUUGAAAGCCAAGAAUGACAAGGACCCGUUUAGUCGAAAGCAUAAGUGCAAUUUCUGUAAAGGUUUUAUUGAUAUAACUAUCACAAAUCGGUUUGAUUUUCAAAAUUUAAAUUUUUCACUGGGCAAAAAAACUGUUUUCAAAUCAAUUUUUUUCCAACUUUCAUAUUAACCAAGAAAUAAUAACUAGACUUAUGAAAGAUGAUACCUUAAGUUUGCUUAAGGAAAUUGAUAUUCCACAAUAUGAAUAUUGCUUGGAAGGUAAGAUGACUAAGUGAUCUUUUAAUGCAAAAGGAAUGAGGGUUGUGAAAUCUUAGAACUUGUGCACACUGAUAUAUGUGGCCCUAAGAACGUCAGUGUGCGAGGUGAUUAUGAUUACUACAUAACAUUUAUAGAUGACUAUUCCAGAUAUAGGUAUGUAUACCUAAAGCACCGUAAAAGUGAAACUUUUGAUAAAUUAAAAGAGUUUCGUGCAGAAGUGGAGAAAGAACUAGGUUUACCCAUAAAGACACUUCGGUUUAAUCAAGGUGGAGAAUACUUAUUGGAUGAGUUCUUUGGUUACCUCAUAGAGAAUGUAAUAUUAUCUUAAUUAACCGCGCCAGGAACCACACAACAAAAUGACAUGGCAGAGAAAAGGAAUCGAACCUUGUUGGACAUGGUUCAAUUGAUGUUAAGUUAUUCAUAGCUUCGAGUCUCCUUUUAGAGAUAUGUUUUACAAAUGACUUGCUACAUUUUGAAUGAUGUACCAACUAAGUUUGUACCUAAAACUCCAUACGAAAUAUGGAAUGGCAGGAAGCCAAGUCUAAAUCAUUUAAGGAUUUGGCGAUGGCCAGCCCACGUGUUGGAUAAAGAUGUGAGGAAAUUGGAUUCACAGAUAAAGUUGUGUAUGUUUGUGAGAUAUCCAAAAGUAAUAAAGGGUGGUUUGUUUUAUAACUCGAAAGAGAAAAUAUUGAUAGUGUCGAUUUAUGCUCCUUCAUUGAGAGGAGUUAUACGAACGACUUUAAAUCUUGAAGUAAAGAAGUACUUGAUGAACUUUGAGGAAGUACACAAAUCCUUGGUUUUAAAUCCAACUUCUAAUAAUAGACUUGUAAACAAUCAUCAACAUAAGGAGCUUCAUUGUAGUGAGAAGGUUUCUCGUAAGCCCGAGUUCUUCUAGUCUAGCAGAAGUGUUUUAAACACUGAGUUUUUUGAACAGGAAGAUGAUGACCAACUCACAUUUAAAAAAAUGAUGCUGAAUGCUGAUUCCAAGCUUUGGGAAAUAACUAUAAAAUCUGAGAUGAAUUCUAUGAAAUCCAGCUAAAUGGAUAUACAAGAAGAAAAGAAUGUGAAUGGAAAGUGGAAACUUAUAAGGCUAAACUUGUAGCAAAGGGGUAUACUCAGAAAGAAGGUAUCGAUUACGAAGAAGCCUUCUUUUUGGUUUCCAUACUCAAGUCAAUCUGUAUAUUGUUAUCCAUUGCGACGACUCUUAAUUAUGGAUCUGUCAAAUGGAUGCCAAGCCGAUAUUCUUUAAUGACUAUCUUGAAGAAGACACUUAUAUGAUGCAACCCACUCGAUAUAUAGCUAAAGGAAAUUAGCAUAAAAUUUACAAAUUGCUUAGAUUCAUAUAUGGACUUAAGCGAGCAUCCCGCUCAUGGAAUCAAAUAUUUGAUCAAAUGAUCAAAACUUUUGAAUUUGAGCAAAAUAUUGAUAAACUUUCUGUUUAUAAACAUAUUAAGGAUGGAAAGAUGGUUUUUCUUAUUGUAUAUGUCGAUGACAUUCUACUCAUUGGAAAUGAUUUAAGUACAUUGUCAUCGGUUAAAUUGUGAUUAACCCAACAGUUUAGCUUGAAGGACUUAAGAGAAGCUAUCUUUGUUCUAGGCAUUCGAAUUCUAAGGGAUAGAAAGAACAAAGUGAUAGCAUUAUCACUAGGUAUAUACAUAGACAAGAUAUUGAAAAUUUAUACGAUAACUGAUUCAAAAUUUAGUCAUUAUACUAUAGUGGAAUAACUUCACGACCAAAUAAGUUUAUAAUUAAUAGACGAAAAGUUGGACAUUAAUUAUAAAUUAUUUAAGCCCUAAUUACGUAUGUACAAUUGGUCCCCCCACUAGCUCGUUGAAAAAAAAAUUAAUUGCAUGUGGAACAAAAUGAAUAGAAAUGAAUGGAAAUGAUAAUGUCAGAGAAAUGAGUCACAUUAACAAAUUAAUGUGUUUUCUCACCAGGUAUAGAAAUGAAUUGAGAAAUUAAUUUAAGGUUUUCGAAUGAUUAUUUAAUUAAUUAUAAUUAAAUAAUUGAAGUUAAAAAAUGAAAUGAAAUUAAUUUUCUAUUAUGAAUGCUUUGAAUAAUGAAAUUAAAUAUACUUCCUCAUAAAAUCUUUUACAAUAAAGUUGUUAUAACUUUAACGGAAUUAGAAUUGAGUUGAGAUAAUUAUUUAAUUGAGUAAUUAAUUUAGUUAAUUAAAUUAAUUAAUUAAAUAAUAUUUAUUUUUGAAAAUAGAAAAUAAACAUUAGGUUGGAUUAAAUCAUAAAAUGCUAGGUUAAAAGUUUAGGAAACUCAUAUAAUUGAACCCAAUACAUGAGAGGUCAAAUUUGUCCCGUAUAACAUGUGAGCAACAACAACCCAAAGGGAAUUUAAGAGGAUGUGUUGCCUCCUCUCUCUUAGUUAGACAAAGAGAGUGUUUUCUAUUAAAAUAAUUGUUGAGUAUGACUCCUAUUUCAGUCAAAUUUGAAAAAUAAUCUUCUAGUUAAACUCUGUUUAUUUGUUUCAAUCAAAUUAUGAUUAGUCUAGAUUAUUUUUUUAUUAUUUGACCUAUGAAUUUAGCCUAUAAAUAGGCUCUUUUACAACUUUAGAAAAUACACCCAUUAGAGAUUAGAACUCAUACACUUUUGGAGAAUUUUUGUGUUUACAUUUUGAGGGUUCUUUGUUUUUUGGGGUUUCAGGGUUUAGUUUCUAUCUUCAUCUUUGUACUAUUCGUUCUUUUUUCAUUAUAGUAAAAUUAUUUUUGCCCGCAGUAUUUUAUCUUCUUUGGAGGGGUUUUUCUACGUUAAAUUUGUGUGUUCAAUUUCUCAAUUUCUUCCGGUAUUUUUACUUGUUCGUUGCUUAAUUGGGUCAAUCCCCAACAAUAACAUUAUUUGUUUAAGCCUUAUUCAACCAAGAUUCUUCUAUCUCUCUCUAUGAAUAGAUAGCACCGAUUGACUUAAAAAACACACUUAUUAGUUAUUGAUUUAUCGUUAUUCUACCAAAAAAUAGUGAUAAUUUAUUCACUUAGAAUAAAUUAUAUUUUUUGGGAAUUACGAUUUUUACCAGUUUCUUAAGAGAAUUUUUUUCCUACUGAAAGUAAUAAUAAUUUCUUGUUCGUUGUUUGGUUCGUGUUUCUCGAGCCCACGCUCAACCCAAAUCCAUCUUGCACAAUGUAUAGGUACUUUUUGGUAAAACGUUUAUUGCUAUAAACAUCAUAAAUCGGUUUAGUUUUUAAAAUUUUUAAACUUCUGCUAUAACUAUAAAUCGUUAUGAAGGAUUUUGAAGAACCAUAUUUUUAAGUGGGACCGUGUGUAUUAAAUCAAAUAAAAUUAUGAAGAAUUUUGAAAAACCACAUUUGUAAGUGGAAUUGGAAAAAGGAAAUUGAGCUACUGAGAUCCCCUCUUGAAAUUACUUAUAAAUUCUGAAAUUCUUUAAUAUAUUUACCCAAACAAAUAAAUUCAUUUUUAUAAAUUUAAAAAUCUUGAUAAAAAUAAAAUCCCUCCUAUAAAUCCCUCACCCAAACACACUUUUAAGUACCUAUGCAAGUUAGGAAGCAAAUGAUGACAAGGACUCAUCACUUACAAAUGAUCCAUUAGAAUGUCUGACCGGCAUUACACGUGUGUGCAUAAAACAACAAAUUUAUAAAAAAAAAUUUAUAGCAAGGUUUUACUGCAAUCAUGCAGGUUAGUUGUAAUAUUUGUAGUGUUACAAUGGAACACCAAAAUAUUCCAAGGAUCGAACUCAAAGGAGUUGGUGAUUUAAUGAUCUGCCACGAAUUAUUGACCGCCUUCAGACAUACUAACAUCUAGAGUGUGAAUAUUGCAGCAAAAGAUAUAUAUAAAUGAUGCGGUAUCUGCAAGUACACGGGUCAGGUUGUAAUAUAGUUACAACGAAGUAUGUGAGUACUCUGAGGAUCGUACCCAAAGGAGGCUAAUACUAGCUCAAUUUCAACCUAAACACCAAAAGAUCUAAUUAGUACUUGAAAUAAGUUAUAUUACGAAAAUAUAAAUAAUAGAGAUUUUUGGGGGUUUUUUAUAGUAAUGAAAAUAUGACAAGUAAUUAAAUAUUGAGAAAUUGAAAAGUGAAAUUAAUCAAAUCUGAUUAUGGGUGAUUAGCUCACUUCAGUAAUCUUCAUCAACUGCCGCUUUAGGUUCCUCAUCAAUCAACUAGUUGAUAUCCUAGUAGAAUCUUCCGAUGGAUCCACUAGAACAAUAAGUCAGCAAUGACUACUUAUCUUCUGACCUCACAGUCUAGACCGGUUUGAGGUGAAGGUGUUUACAGAUAGGCCAUAGCAAUUUUAGGUUAAUUUCCACCUUGAUAACUUCUUAGGGUCGUCAAGCCUAGGUUUUACGUUCUUCUUUUCCCAAACAGCUGAUCUGUUGAGUAAUCCUACAAAACAGUUAAUAUAUCAUAGCUCCACUCGCUAAUCCCCCAUAAAAGGAUUAGUUCCUCAUGGUUUUCGUAAACAAUAUAAAGUUGAUAUAAAGUGUAAACAUGAUAAUUGAAUCGAAAGUAUAAAGUUUAAGAAAAAGCCUGAUUUGUAUUACGAAGAAGAAUGAAUCCACAAAGUUUAAUCGUAUCCACAAGUCAUAUUUCCUGAGAUAAAACAAAGAACAAGCUGAAAUAAAUAUAAAACCUAAGAAAAGAUAAAUACUAAACUAAAAAUAAAAAGAAAGAUUCUAAGCUAAGUAAUCAGUGUCUAUAACAUGUGCCAAAUGAGCCUAUUUAUAGAUUUGAGGUGAUCGUCGUCCUUAACCCUAGGUUAGCUGACAUUCCCGAACUUUAAGUUGGAUUGUGCGGACCAAAAUACCCCCUGGCUCGUAUUAAUUCCCGUCAAGAGUUGAUGUUGCGACACAUCAAAACCUGUGUCGCGACAUAAAAGUCAGUAUACUUUUCUUCAAAGUGUCUUUAGGGGUAUGUCGCGACAUCCUUAAGCUGUGUCGUGACAUCAAAGGAAAUCUUAGAAUUCCUCCAUUCUGCUCCCUAUGUUGCAAUAUCGAAUCCUCUGUGUUGCGACAUAGUGACUAGUAUCAGUUUAGCACGCCUCCUAAUGGUCUCCUAUAUACUCACAAAGUUCAUUAGCUCACCCUUAGACCUCGUUCGACCCCUAAGGUCAAGAAAAGACUCAAUUUAUACAUUUUGUUGAAUUUAAUUAAACUUACUAAAACAUAAUUAAAAUCUAAUGAUAAUGCUUAUUUUCAAGCUCUUAAAGUGAAAAAAUUAGUUUAAUCUACUAACCCAAUUAUGACAGAUCAAUUAUAUUAUUAUUAUUUAUAUCACUUUUUACACGUAAUUUUAGCUUGUUUAAUAGUAAAUAAAAUUAUCUUAGUAUAUAUUUAUGUUUUCAUACUUGAAGUAAUGAUGUAUGCUUUUUAGUAGUUUUUAUUACAUUUUAGAUAUAUAAAUAUGGUUGCAUGGUCCUGUAGGACAAUCUGGGAGCAAAAGAUGCAUAUUCAUGAUGGAACUGUUGCCUAUGUCGCGACACCAACACAUCGAUGUUGUAACAUCAAAGGCAGAAGCAAAAACAAGUCAAUGAGCGAAACUGCUUGGUAUGUCGUGACAUAGCCUUACUAUCUUGGAGCGAAGACCUAAUAAAUUGUACAUAAAUUGAAACCUUGAACUCUUCCUUAUCCUUGGUCUUUUAAUACAUUACAAAAUAGACGUUAGGCUAUAGAUAUUGAGGGUUUAGGUAUAUACAUCAUGGUGGUUUCAAAAAAAUUUAGAGCGAAAAAAGAAGAAACAAUAUGAUACAAUGAUUAUAGGUCAAGCAAAAAUGUGCAAAAAAAGAAAAAUAUAGAAAAAGUAAAAAGUAAAAAUAAGAAGAAAAAGUACAAAAUAAAAGCAAAAGCCUUAUGAGUGAGAAAAAAAGUAAAAUGUCAAGUGGCAAAACAAAAAGUCACAAAAGUGAGAAAAACUCAGUCAUCAAUGCACAAAAACUCGUUGAGCCAACCAUAGUUAUUAGUAUUAUAUUGUAUCUUCCUACAUGGAGAGAUAAGGAAGGUGAGAGAGGGAGAAAAAAGAAGGUGAGCUUGAAAGGGGCACCUAGAGAGAGAGGGAAUAAUGUCAUGUGCCUAACUAUUUCUAGUGUUUGAACUAUUUUGAGCCAUAUCUUUCUUUGAACUCGUACAGUCCUAAGCCUCAGAACAUUACAAGCCUAGAAGACCAAUGUGACUUAAGCGUUCUCUGUGCAUAAUCUUCUAGUAUUGCUAAUGUAAUGACCUAAAUUCAAGGUUAGCGGAAUAGUGGUUUCGUAACCAUAAAUCCGAUUUAAAGAAAAAUUUAUUUUAAUAUUUUGCAUGAAUAUUGAUAUGAUAGGAAAACCGUAUGAAAAUAUUGAUAGAAAAAUUUUACCGAUUUAAUGGUUAGUUAGAAAAAGAAAUUAUUGAAGAAAUUGGGUAAAAAUAAGGUAUGGGGACCUUGAUCUCGUAAAACUGAGUCAGAAAUAUUUUUAUAAAUAUUUAUGAAAUGUAAGCAAUGUGGUAUUAAAAUUUUGUUAUAAAAUUUUAAUGUUUGGGUAGUCAAUUAAAUGAAAAGGACUAAAUUGAAAAAGGUGUAAAAGUGGCUGGGAUGAUUAAAUAGCUUAGGUGUCUAAUGAGAAAGGAUUUAAAAGGCAAUUAGACCAAAAUUUAUUUGGGCUGGACGGAAAGGGCAUGAAAUCAGCAAGAAAAUGGAUUAUUUAAGGGUAAAAUUGGAAUAUUGCAUCAUUAACUAAAUAAAAUUAGGACUAAUGUAGAAAUAUCUAGAUUUCUUGUGAUUUCUCUUCAUUCUCAUCAGCCAAAAGGCCAUAGGAGGGGUUCUUUAAGCUGGUAUUUCAUAAUUUUUGCACCAAGUGAGUUAAUCCUUGCCUUUUUCUUGUAAUUUUUGUGUUUCUAAGACUUUUACAACUAGGUUCUACUAUUAAAUUCAUUAGUUUUUGAUUUCAUGGAUGGAAUUGAAAGUCACCAUGGUUGAGUGCUGUAAGUUUAUGAUGAAAUAACAUGAAAUUGAAGCUUUAAUUUGUUUAUGAGAUGAUUUUAUUAGGUAAUUUUAAUAGAAAUUGAUUUUUAAGACCUAAUUGUGAAAAGUUGGAAUUAAAGUCUAGUGCUGAAAUUUUGAUUCCCAAAGGUUAUAAAGUAGUUUAAAGUGAUAGAAUAAAGUGUUAAUUGAGAAAAAUCAGCUCAAUUGAGAGGUUAAUUGAGCAGGGACGAAAUUAUCAUUUAUUAAAAGCUUAGGGGAAAAUGGUAAUAAACAUCUUGCACUAAAACAGCUUUGGACAGCAACAGUAGGCUAACUUUAAAAAAAUCACCAUAAAUUGUGGAAAUCUAAUUAGAGGAUAAAUAAAAUAUUGAAUUAAAGCUUAUUGAGUCUAGUUUCUUAUAGUAGAAACGGUGUAAGUAAUGGAAUUGUAAAUCAUGAGAUAUAUUAAAUUUUGUGAGACAAGGUCAGAAUGAAUUCGGAAUCCCCUGUUCUGAAUUUGGAAAAUCAUUAAAAAUUGGAGAAAAAUAAUUAAGGGUUAAAAUUUACAUAUUUAAACUAUUAAUGAGUCUAUUUUUAAUAGAAACAAACGGAAAUAUCAUCCAAAUUUUGUACUAAGAGAUAAUUAAUUUUUAGCAAAGAAAGGUCGAAGUUGUCAAACAACAGAACAGGGGUAAGUUUGAAGAUUUUACUGUACUCAUUGGCUGAACCAAAAAUUCUGAAAAUUUUAUGGUGAAAAUAUAUUUGAGUGUAGUUUCAGAAGCAUCAAAUGGUUUUUAAUAUGGAAUUCUGUAGCUUGAGAUAUAAAUAAUUUAGUGACUACGACUCAAGUAGACAGCUUUGAGUGAACAGUAAAUAAUAGUGGAAUUAUAGAGAAUGUUACAUAUGAACGUGAAAUGUAUUAAAUUGAUGAUUAAAUUUAUUUAUUUAGAUCCAGAAAAUUCAAAUAUGAAGCUAGAUCGAGGAAAGGAAAAAGUUCGGGAUUAGUAGAUUUUUGUAUACGAACAAGUAUCGAGGUAAGUUUGUGUAACCUGAAUUAUAUUCUUAAAUGCUUGAAAUGUAUAUUAUUGAUGUGAAUAUGAUUUAAAUGUUCAUUGUAUGAAAAUUGAUGAGACAUUGAUAUAUUUGAUAAAAAGGGGGAAAAAUCCCGGUUGAAUAAAAGGAAAAUUCGAUGGAUCUUUAAAAAGGAAUUGACGGUAAAGAAAAGAUCUAUCCCGGACAGGUGAUCCUACCCUGAUAUAGCCCUCUCGAAGAAUAUGUGUAAAAUAGAUUUAGCUCAGACGGGUAAUCUGAAUUAGGGUUUGAAUUUAGCCUGGACUAGUAAUUCAGAUCCAAGCUCAUUAGAGUAAAUUGUCGUUGUAGGGGAUUUAGCCUAGACUUGUAAUCACAACAAUACUCUAUAAGUUUAUAUUACAGGGGAUUUAGCCUGGACUGGUAAUCCUGCUGUAAGGAUGAGGUUCGCAGGAGUGUGCUCUCUGAAAUGGAAAUGUGCGCACAUGAAUAUGAAUUGACGGACCCGGAAUAGUACGCUAAAAGUGUACCUCUAAAAACCCAUCGAAAUUCCGAGAAAUUCAAUGGGAUAAAUAUGGUAAAUAAUAAGGGUAAUAGAAAACAUGGAAUUGAUGAGCUCAUCAGUCAUUAAUCUUUGUAUUGAACUCAUAUGAUGCUAUUUGAUUAAUGUUUUGGUUGAGUUUGUGUGAUAGGUAAAUGGUAAAUUGAAUGGAUGUAUGAAUAUUUAUUGUAUUGUAUUGGAAAUAUUAGGUAAGUAUAAUUCUUGUUACAUGACUUUACUAAGCACAACGUGCUUACCCUGUUUCCUUUUUCCCUGAUUUGUAGUAUUAAGAGCUCGAAGGUUGGAUUCGGUCGGAGAUACAUCACACUAUCAACUUCAACAUUUUGGUAUAUCAAGAAACUUUAUUUUGGAAUCACUGAUGUGUAUAAGUUGAUAGAGUAAAUGUUAAAGUGAAAUGAAUGUAAAGUUAGCCAUUGGUAUGGCUUGAAAUCCAGGUUUUGGUAUGUGAUGAGGUUAUCUUAUGGAUAUGCGUAAAUCUAUCUUGAAAAUAUGUUGAAUUUGAUUGGUUGAUUUGAUUUGAUAUCGGUGUAUGUUUUGGGCUUCGGAGGCCUAUCUAAGGGACGUCAUAAUAUGUUUCAAUAAAAGAAUAGUAUUUAACUCGUAAUAACGAAAAAAAAUAAUUUGAAAAACUCUGGCAAUGCCUCGUACCCUAUUCCAGUGACGAAUAUAGGUAAGGAGUGUUACAGCUAACAAUUGUACUUAAUGAAAAUUUUUUAUUCACAUGAUUGUAUCUACUCAAUAUCUAUUUGAUUUCUAUUAACGGUGAUAUUGUUAAACAUUUGGUUAUGAGAUUUGCUUCUAAUUUAUUAGUAAUGUAACUUUGUAAAGUAAUCUUAGUUUACUUUAAAAAGUUUUCAAUGCAUCGAACUAUCAAUAUUAAGUUGCAUGUGCGAUAAAAUUUUUUAUAGCUUUACUAUUUGACAACCAUGUUCGUAGUAGUAAUAAAUUCCAAGGGACGUCUUCUUUUUGCAUACUAUAUGUCUAAAGUUGGUUUGCUUGAGGACAAGCAAAAAGUUAAGUGUGGGGGAGUUACGUGUGAGAUUCUUAUUUACAUCCAUCUUCACUAACUUUAUCUUGUUUAAAUAAAGAAAUCAAGUCAUUUUCGUAUUAUUUUUUUUCCUUUUUCCCAUAUAUGUGUUUUGGUUGCUUGAGGACAAGCAACAAGUUAAGUGUGGGGGAGUGAUCUACCAGGAAUUAUACUAUUAUUUACAUCCCUUUGUAUACAUAAUUGUAUCUUGUUUAAUAGUAAAUCAAGUUAUCUUAGUAUAUAUCUAUGUUUUCAUACUUGAAGUAAUGACAUAUGUUUUUUAGUAGUUUUAUUACAUCCUAGAUAUCUAAAUAAGGUUAUAUGGUCAUGUGGGACAAAUCGGGAGCUAAACAUGCAUAAACGGGCCAAAAAUGAUGCCUAUGUCGUGACACCAAGACACCGAUGCCGCAACAUCAGAGACAAAAGCAAAACAAGUCUUGGGGUGAAACUGCUUGUUAUGUCAUAACAUAACAGGCACCAUAUUUGAUUUUGCAACACUACAUGCCUAUGUUGCAACACCACUUCUGCGCGGUCCAAAAGUCCUAGUGCGUGAUAGUUGCAUUUUUUAGGGAAAUUAGGAGAAUUUUUCCUAGUCAAACUCUAAGCACUUCAAAGAUAGUUUAGGCACUUUAAUAUUCUGAGUUUAGCCUAUAUAAAGGCCAUUGUAAUAAGUUCAAACACACAAUUUUAAGGAGACAAAAAUUAUUCUUAGGUUUUUAUUGCAUUCUUAGUUUCUACUUAGUUUAUUUUAUGUUCUUGUAAUCAAAAGAUCCUAUUCCAAAGUGAGACUUUUGCGAGCGGAGAUUGUUCGGAGCCAUACUUUCAUCGAUAAAUCUAUGAGCAUCUCUUUCCUUUAUUUUAUUCUUUAUAUUUCUUUCUUUAAAAUUGUUAAUUGAAUGUUUGUGUAAAGAUUAGAAUCAAUAUAAUUUAUAUAUAUUUCGCAUGUUUCAAUUGUACUAAUCUUAUUAAUUGAUUGAUUGAUAGAGUUUAUUUGGGUUGGUUAGAUUUGGUUGAGUGUUAUUAAACCCUAGGAUUGACAACCCUAAGAAGUCAUCUAGGUAGGAAUUAACUUGAAAUUGGUAUUGCCUACAAAGCAUCACUUAGCAAAUCAAUGGUUAGAGAAGGAAGAACUUAAACCCUAUGAUAGACGAUCCUAGGAAGUCAUAUAGGUGUGAAUUAACCCAAAUUCGGUAUUGCCUAUCCAUGAAAACCUUACCCUACCCCGAUCUGGACUGCAUCAUUGAGAGGUGAGUAGUUCUUGUCGUCUAGUUAGGUUAGUAGAAGUUGAGAAGCCCUGCUAGGUUAAUUAGUAACCAACUAUUUAGAUCCCUACAUCAAUAAUUAAUUAGGUAAAACAAUUGGAUCUAGGCUUAAGGAACUCCCGUAUUCGAAACAAGGGAUAGGAGAAGUUGAUACAUGAACUUAAGAGUAGAUUUAAGUUUAGAUCACUUUAUUUGGUUAUUAUUAUCAUCUUACUUUUAGAUUAACACUACUAAUUUAUACCUUUAGUAGAUUAGUAGUUAUUUUCGGUAAUUUGCUUAAUAGUAGUUUUUUUUUCACACUGCACAAUCUUCAGAAUACUUACCAAGUAUUUCAUUGUAAACAAACUAUAUUACAACCUGCCCCUUAUACUUGUGAACACAACCUUAAUUCCAUAUAUUUUGUAACAGUAUUCAUACUCUCAACGUUGGUAUGUCGGGAGGCAGUCAUUUAGCGAUUUCUAUUCAAAAGUGCAUGCAAGUAAGGAGACCGUGAUGGGCACAGUGAGGUGUCUAUUAGUUGAAAGCAAGUUGCCAAAGGAAUUUUGGGUUGAGGUAGUUAACACUUCAGUCUAUUUGGUGAACAGGCUGUCAACCAAGGAUGUGAAAGAAAAGACUCCAUUUGAAGCUUGGUACGGGUAUAAGCCUUUUGUUUCUCAUUUGAAAGUAUUUGGCUAUAUUUUUUUUUCAUGUACCUCAGGUGAAAAAAAGCAAAGUAGAAAGGAAAUCGUAGCCUGGGAUUUUUAAGAUGCUACUAUCUGAUUCUUAAGGAAAUACCAAUAUUUCUUCCUCCCUUGAGCUGGAAGUUGCGAUUUUGGGUUGUUAUGAGGAGAUAUUUUAUGUUUGGUUAAGUAGUAUGACUUUGUAUGCGAGUUCUGAAAGAGUAAGUUUGUUAGAUUUGGUAAAACAAAAAGAUAAAGAUAUGAGGCUUUGUUUGGGGACUUCUAAUGUUAGAAAUGUUAGUAAAAAGGUAUAUGAAUAAAUUUUGAUGUGCUUCUAUGUUCUGUAUCAGUGCUUGCUGUUGAUUUCGUAAUGAGAGUCUAGAUCUAGAGUUUUUCUUUGCGACAAGUUAGAAUCAGGUGAGUCUCUAAACUGACUCUUGUAUGUAUUAUUCAUACUAAAAAAACUGUAGGAAAUUUCUUGGAAGGUGAUGUGUGAUCUUGUAAGUUGCAGUAUGUUGUGUAUGUGACUUAGGAGUGACUAUUAAAGGAUAUAUAUGAGUGUGUGAAUGUUUGUUAAGAAUGGAAUACAUAUCUGGUAUGAAUAUGAUAGUUCUAGUAAGGCGAGGUGAGGUAUAGUUGCAUCUGAAUGUCAUGAAAGUAUAUGUGCAUGUCUUGGAUGUAUGCUAUGAGGAAUGUUCUAUUAAGAGCAAGUUGUUAUUCAAAUGGUGAAUAUGGAUCGUGUCAGUGCAUGUAGAGUAUCUGUCUGUCUUCACGGUAUUGUCUAAAGGAGUCUGUUGAGACUUUAAACACGAAUUCUGAAAAGAAAAUUCCAUGGCCAUGGCACAUUCCGAAAGGAACUAAAGGACGAGGAUUACCCAAUGGGGUUAUCUGCCUAUCCCAGGAUGAUGAUAGGCAAACCUCACGCAACGUGAGUUUAGGAAAAUCUAUAUCAUAAAUACGUCAGGAAAUGAAGCCUUUGUGGAUAACUCUAAAAAGAAAGCCUUUGUGGCUAACUCUAAAAAGGAAGCUUUCAUGGCGAACUCCAAAGGAAUAACCUCUAUGGCCAAUUGUAAUAGGAUAGCCUUUGUGGCGCAAUGUAAAAGGAACACCUGUGUGGCGAAUUAUGAAAAGAAUAGCCUUUGUGAUGGAUUAUGAAAGAGCAUCAUUCGUAGCAAACUUCAAAUGUGAUGUCCUUGUGGCGUGUCUUAAUAAGGCUCUUAGUGGGAAAACUUUAAAAGAUGUCACUUAUGGCAAUUUUUGAAUUAAGCUAAUUUUCGUAUUCAAUCUGGCUUUUAAAUGUAUUCAGAACACAAUCAACAAGGCAUAAGUUAUCUAUUAAUUAUACGGUGAAGUAUCACAUAGGACUAUCAAUCGAUUGGAAGUAUUGAAUUGAAGAGAUAUAUAGAAAUAAGGAAUUAGUAUGGAAAGUUUAUUUCAAAAUAAGGAUUUGGAAUUGUACAUUUGAAGAAGGUAUUUGUCAUCUACUCACAUGAUGGCUUAGAACUAAGUAUGGUACAGUAAUAGUGUGUUAGUUAAGUUGAUCUUGGAAAGGAAAUGCAAAGAUACUUAUAAAUGCUAGGAUGAAAGGCAUACGUGAUGUAUCGAAUACCCCAAUGGAAAAAGAGUUAAUUUUUGAGUAAGGCAUGAUAUAUAUAGUGUAUGAAGAAUGGAAUUUGAGGGAAGCAAUCGCCAAAGACAGGUUACUGGGCAAGAACAAUAAGAUCAUCUCAUUGAAUCAUCAACUGUAUUGUGCAAAUAUCACAUAGGUAAUUAUAUAUUCCUCACUUAGUUUGUAUAAACUUAUCCAUGUGUAUGUUAUAUUAUAGGUUUGAUUGCAAGGCUACACCAAGAGGGACGAUACCAGGACUACUCUAAAGGAGUGGCGUAUCGGGAAAUUAUGAAUGCAAUUAGUUGAUAUGUUCCUUAGAAUUCAUAUUUUUUUUGUAAUAUAUAGGUUUUAAAUUAGAAAUAUUUAUACCUUAAUUACCAUGUGUUGCAAAUGUAGUUAUCUACUGAACAUACUUAUAUAUUUAGUUUGAAAUCUGCAAUUGAAUAAGUUGUAAUUGUUUGAAAUUUGUAUAAGUAGGUUAAGUUUUUGUUUGUUUAUGUUGGUAAUGCCCAAGAUCUAGAUCCAAAAAAACGGACCAAGCUCAACAAAGGACUUCUCCUCGGCCAUGACUACAAUAAGCUCAGUGAUGCAUUGUCGGUGCAAAUAAUGUUCUUCCCAAAACUUCAAUCCAUCUUCAAACUAGUAGAAUGCUUCUUUUUCACUUAUAUCAGAUAUUUAAAGCAUUUAUUCACUAAAGUACUAAAUAGUGCCUUCUUGAGUAAGCCAGUGCAACUUAGCCCGAGCUUCCUUCUCGGCAUAUUAUUGGUAAAACUGUUUUUUCAUCUCCUUUUGGAACUCCUCCUAAAUUUUAAUUUUAGUCCUACCAUGUUUCUCAUCCGUGAACCUACGAUGCCACCAUAAGAGAGUAACAUCAGUAAAAUAAAUUAAAGCAGUGUUUACCUUAGUGACAUCUAUAAUGACCCAAAAUUCACGGGCAUCGAAAAAGUAUAAUAUCGAGCCUCCGUCUUGAGUUUAAAAAUAAUUAUUAGAAAUAUUUACGAGACUAGUUGUGUGUUUAAUUAGGUUUUAGAUAGGUGAAUUUGGCUCAAUUAAGAGUAAUUAGCAAAAGGGAUUAAAUUACAAUAGAAGUGAAAAUCUAAUCAUAGAUUAAAAGAAAGUAAAAAGGGCUAAAAUGGCAAUUAAGCCAUUUAAAAUGAUUGAGGCGGCAUAAAGGAAUAAAUUUUAAGAUUUUAUUUAUUUAAUUAUAUGAUUAAUGAUAUUUAUUGUUUAUUAUUAGUUAUUAGUUAUUAUUAAAUUAAAAGAUAUUUAGUAAUUAAAUAAUUAGUAUAAGAUUUUUGGGUAAUAAUAAAUUAUGAUUUUGCCAAGUGUGUGGUAAAAAUAAAAUACAAGUGUAUUAUAUUUCUUUAUUUACUUGAAAAUUAAGUAAAAGAUAAUUGUUAAUUAAAUAAUAAUAUUAUGAGAUUUUUAUUUGAUAAAUUAGUUAGAUUGAGACAAGUGUAUGUAAUGAUUUAAUGCAAGUGUACUAAUAAAAUACAUACAUUUGUAAUAUUUAUAAUUAGUUAAUAUAAUAUAAAGUAAAUGAAAUAAAAUGAAAUAAAAACAAAGCAAAAGAAAGGAAAGAAACAGAAUAGAAGAGACGAAACAGGGGAGAAACAGGGGAGAAAGAAGAAAAAGAAGAAAAUAGGGAAAAUAGGGUUUUUGAAGCUUGAAAUUUAAUUUGGUAAGUCAAAUUAGCCCUUUUCUCUUAAUUCUAAUGUUUUAAAAGCUUUAAAACAAAGUUUUGAUGGAAUUAAGUUGAUAUUUUGUAAGUUCAUAGGUUUUCAAGUAACGUUUAUGUUGAACAAAAGAGAUGAAUUAAGAAUUAAAUUGAAUGAAUUUUAAGUUAGAAUUGAAAAAGGGAUUAAAUUGUAAAAGAAACUAUAAGUUUUAUGUUUUAGGGACUAAAUUGAGGGAAAUUCGAAAUUAGCAAAAAUGCUGAAAUUUCGAUAGUUAAAUUUUAGUUUGGAUGAAAUUUGAAUAGAAAUAGAGUGUGAAUUGAAUUAGGAAAGCAAGUGAAUUUAGUUAGGAUUAAAUUGAGAAUUAGGAAGAAAUUGAAUAGAAAUUCAAUUAUUUAUUAUAAUUAGUGCUGUAAUUAAUAUUACAAAUUAUUAUUAUUUUCGUAGCUAACAAAGAACCCGAGGCAUCGGCGUCAAAAGGAAAGGAGAAAGUUAUCGAGGACUAAAACGGGAGAUUUACGGUUUGUAUUACUAUAAUUCAAAUUAUUUAUUUUUAAAUGUUUAAUUUUAAUUUAUGUGUUUAGUAAAUGAAAUGUGCGGUAAGUAUUAUUAUUAUUAUUAUUAUUAGUGGGAAUUAAACUGAAUAUUUGAUAUGAAUUAAUAUUUGAAUUGUUUGUUGAUUGAAAGUGGGAAGUGAAUUUAAAUCGAAUAGUGACUGAUAUUAAAUUGAAUGGAAAUGUAUUGAGUUGUGAAAAUGUGUGAAUUGCGGAUUAAUUAUUGAUUGAAAGGUGGAAAAAUGAUUGAAUUGAAAAUGUGAGAAAUUGUGAUUGAAUUGGGAUUAUAUGUGAUUUAAAUACCCUAUUAACUAGUCGGGCUGAGUCGGAUAUAGUUGGCAUGCCAUAGGAUUGGAAGAGUUCAGGGAUACUUCGACCUCGAGUCGAUGAGACACUGGGUGUCACUAUAUUUUUUCGGAUAGAUUCGAUGAGGUACUGGGUACCAACUUUCUUCGGCUUUGCCGAUGAGACACUGGGUGUCAACUAUUGCUUCGAACUAUCCGAUGAGGCACUGGGUGUCAUACUGGUGUGUUUGGUUGGAUCCGUGUAUCCGCCAAAGUCCGAGUUUUGUUAAUAGGGUAAUUAAUGAAAUGAUAAACCGAACGAGCUACUGAAAUGAAAUGAAAAAGUUGAAUUGUGAAUUGAAAUGUGAAAUGAGAUUGAGAAAUGAACCUAAAGUUCAUGAGAUGUUCAAAUUCAAAUUGUGGAUAUGUGAUAUUGAUUGAUGGAUUGCUAUUGUUGAGAUAUUGAAUUUAAAUUGUAUAUACGAUUUAUGCAUUACAUGUACAUUAUUGUUAUAAUUUGAAUUAUGGUAAUACCACUGAGUAUGAAUUACUCAGCGUACGGUUGUUUCCAUGCGCAGGUCGAUAGAAGUCAAAGGUCUCGGUUCAGCAUCCAGAUUAAUCCCGGCUUCAGCAUAACUUUGGUGAUGUAUAUUUUCUUUUGGUAAUGUGGCAUGUACAUAGGAAUUAUAAGUUUUAUAUAAAUGGUUAAAAAUGUUAGUAUUAUAAGUUUAUGAAUUAUAAUGAAAGAAGUUUAUCUAUUUUAAUCUAAUUAGUCAAUGGAUAAAUUUAAAUUGAUAUUAUGUUAAUUGAGUUUGAUUAGAAGUAUUUAGAAUAGAAAAUGUGAAUGUGAAAUGAAUUGGUUGAUUUGGUUAUAUUUGAAAAUGUUAUGGAUUUUAAUUGCAGGGGGUUGUAUGUAAAAAUAAGCAGAAGUGCUGCCGAAAUUUUUCAAAAAAAAAAUGAAUGAAGUUUAUUAGCGAAAUUUAUAUGAAUUUAUGACUCUCUUUUAUAUGUUCGUUAAUUGUUUAUGAAUUAUUUGAAAUUUGUCUGAAAUGUCCGGUAAUGCCUCAUAACCCUGUUCUGGCAACGGUUCAGGGUUAGGGGGUGUUACAGUUGUUGGUAUCAGAGCUAUCAGGUUUAGCCGAUUCUCGGCCUAAAUCGAGCUCGGAAUUGAGUCUAGAUGUACAUGCCACUGUCGAGUCAAACUGAGUCGAGAUUUUUGGAUGCUGACCUAUUUGUUUGCUUUGUUUUAUAGAUUAAAGAUGUCUGAAGAAAGAAUAAAUGAUACUGAUGAAAGAAUGUAUACUGAAGAUAGAGAAUUAGAUGAAACAGAAUCUGCUGCACCGAGUGUGAAUCUGUUAGGCAACCAGCCUCCUAAUGUGGAACGGGAAAAUGCCAGAGAUAGAGAUGAAUCCCAAUUACUGAGAAUUAUAGCUGAUGCAUUACAAAGAGUAGCGAGAACUACUCCUGCUACGACUUCAGUACCUACUGUUAGACGGGCCCCGAUAAAAGAACUGAGAAAAUAUGGUGCCACUGAAUUUAUGGGUCUAAAAGGAGUCGAUCCAUCCGCAGCUGAAAAUUGGAUGGAGUCGAUUAAAAGAAUUUUGCAGCAAUUAGACUGUACCCCCCGUGAGUGUUUAAUCUGUGAUGUAUCGUUGCUACAAGGGGAGGCUUAUCUAUGGUGGGAAUCAGUAGUUCGACAUCUAUCAGAGAGUCAGAUAACGUGGGAUCUAUUUCAGAAGGAAUUCCAAAAGAAAUAUAUCGGAGAGAUAUAUAUCGAAGACAAGAAACAAGAGUUUUUAAUGUUACAACAGGGGGAUAUGUCAGUAAUAGAUUAUGAGAGAGAAUUCUCGAGACUCAGCAGAUAUGCCUCCAAAUUUAUCCUGACAGAAGCUGAUAGUUGUAAAAGAUUUCUAUGGGCUUUGCGAGACGAGAUCAAGGUACAGUUAGUAUCUCAUCGGAUCACUGAGUUAGUAGAUUUGAUUGAGCGGGCUAAAAUGGUGGAACAAGUUCUAGCCCUUGAUAAAAAGACUGAAGUUGUUAGACCAACCAGGAAAUGUACAGGAACUACGAGUUCGAACCUUCAGCCGAAAAGACCAAAGGAGUCUCAAGGUGGUUGAAGAUCCAGUUUCAGAUCAGGCAAAGGUGGUAGAAGCAGGGGAAGAUAGAUGACGGUAUCUACUGGCAAUGUGAGAGGUCCUUGUCGAGAAAUAGAAAUUCCAGACUGUCAACACUGUGGAAAGAAACAUAGAGGGGAAUGUUGGAGAUUAACUAGAGGUUGUUUCCGAUGUGGUUCUACAGACCAUUUUAUCAGAAAUUGUUUGAAAACUGAUAGUACUGUACCCGUGACAUCACAGAGAUCGGUAUCUACUGCUAGAGGCAGAGGGUUAGGAAGAGGUGGUUCGGUUUCAAGGGGAGGAAGUAUUAGGAGGAGUAGUGAUAUUGCUACCCAGCAGUCUGAAGCUAAAGUACCUGCCAGAGCUUAUGUGGUCAGAACACGGGAAGAAGGCGACGCCCACGGUGUAGUAACAGUAAGAUCAGAACUGUAUGUGAGUUUCCAGAUGUAUUCCCUGAAGAACUACCGGGUUUACCACCUGACAAAGAGGUUGAAUUUGCUAUAGAAGUGUAUCCGGGUACAACACCAAUCUCUAUACCACCGUAUCGAAUGUCGCCCACUGAGUUAAAAGAGUUGAAAGUGCAAUUACAGGACUUGCUAGAUCGUGGAUUUAUUAGACCGAGCAUUUCACCUUGGGGAGCUCCGGUAUUGUUUGUUAAAAAGAAAGAUGGAUCGAUUCGGCUUUGUAUUGAUUACCGGCAGUUAAACAAAGUGACGAUCAAGAACCGGUAUUCGUUACCCCGUAUAGAUGAUUUAUUUGAUCAACUAAAAGGAGCUUCAGUAUUUUCGAAGAUUGACUUGAGAUCUGGGUAUUAUCAGCUGAAAGUAAAAGAAAGUGAUGUUUCGAAGACUGCAUUUCAUACUCGAUAUGGUCAUUAUGAAUUUUUGGUAAUGCCGUUCGGGUUGACUAAUGCUCCAGCUGCUUUUAUGGAUUUGAUGAAUCGUAUUUUUCAGCCAUAUUUAGACCAGUUUGUGGUGGUUUUUAUUGAUGAUAUAUUGGUUUAUUCAAAUUCGGAGUCAGAGCAUGAUCAGCAUCUCAAAACCGUGUUACAGAUUCUGCGGGAAAAAUAGUUGUACGAGAAACUGAGUAAAUGUGAAUUCUGGUUAUCAGAGGUAGUAUUCUUGGGACAUGUUGUAUCUGCGGAUGGGAUUAGAGUUGAUCUGAAGAAGAUUGAGGCAAUUGUUCAAUGGAAGGCACCAAAGAAUGUAUCAGAGGUACGCAGUUUUCUUGGUUUGGCUGGGUAUUACAGAAAAUUUGUAAAUGGGUUUUCGAAGAUAGCUUUGUCGAUGACCAAGUUACUACAGAAGAAUGUUCCAUUUAUCUGAGAUGAUCAAUGCCAGAGAAGUUUUGAAACAUUGAAACAAAUGUUGACAGAGGCACCAGUCCUAACUUUACCAGAAUUAGGGAAAGAUUUCAUAGUGUACAGUGAUGCUUCUUUGAAUGGUUUGGGUUGUGUAUUGAUGCAGAAUGGAAAAAUAAUAGCUUAUGCAUCUCGACAGUUGAAACCACAUGAACGUAACUACCCGACACACGAUUUGGAGUUAGCUGCUGUAGUAUUUGCAUUGAAGAUUUGGAUACAUUACUUGUAUGGUGAGAAAUGUUAUAUUUACACUGAUCAUAAAAGUCUCAAAUAUCUUCUGUCACAAAAGGAGUUGAAUCUGAGACAGAGACGAUGGAUAGAACUUCUGAAAGAUUAUGAUUGUGUUAUAGAUUAUCAUCUAGGAAAGGCAAAUGUGGUAGCAGAUGCAUUGAGCAGAAAGGCAGCGGCUGAAUUACGGACAAUGUUUGCUCGGCUUAGUAUUAAUGAUGAUGGAAGUUUGUUAGCUGAGUUAAGAGUUAAGCCGGUAAUGUUUGAUCGAAUCAGAGCAGCACAACUAGAAGAUGAGAAGUUGAUGAAGAAAAGAGAAAUGGUACAGCAUGGUACGGUAGAAAAUUUUAGUAUUGACGAGCAUGAUUGUUUGAGAUUUCGGAAUCGAAUUUGUAUUCCAGCUACUUCUGAGAUUAAAGAGCUGAUUCUUCGAGAAGCACAUGAUAGUAUUUUUGCUUUGCACCCAGGUGGAACGAAGAUGUAUCGCGAUCUACGAGAACUGUAUUGGUGGCCAAGAAUGAAGAACGAUAUAGUUGAGUAUGUCAGUAAAUGCUUGACUUGUCAGCGGGUAAAAGCAGAACAUCAGGAACCAACAGGUCUGUUACAGCCUAUUACUAUUCCCGAGUGGAAAUGGGAUCGCAUUACCAUGGAUUUUGUUAUGGGGUUGCCAUUGUCAGUGAGUAAAAAGAAUACCAUUUGGGUGAUUGUUGAUCGACUCACAAAGUCAACUCAUUUUAUAGUAGUUAGAACCGACUGGUCAUUACAGAAGCUUGCCGAGGUUUAUAUUCGAGAAAUUGUUAGAUUACAUGGUAUUCCGGUAUCAAUAAUUUCAGACAGAAAUCCUCAAUUCACUUCGAGAUUUUGGAAGCAGCUGCAUGAAUCAUUGGGUACUCGACUUAGUUUCAGUACAGCUUUUCAUCCUCAAACUGAUGGACAAUCUGAACGGGUAAUUCAGAUAUUAGAAGAUAUGCUUCGAGCUUGUGUCAUUGAUUUUGAAUCAGGUUGGGAACGUUAUUUACCAUUGGCCGAGUUUGUUUAUAAUAAUAGUUUCCAAUCUAGUAUUCAAAUGGCUCCGUAUGAAGCACUUUAUGGUCGAAGGUGUCGGUCACCAGUAUGUUGGACAGAAUUAAAAGAAAGAAAAGUGAUUGGGCUGGAAUUAAUUCAAGAGACAGAAGAAACAGUUAAGAAGAUUAAAGAUAGACUGAAAGCCGCUUUUGACAGACAGAAAUCUUACGCAGACUUGAAACGACGAGACAUUGAAUAUUCCAUUAGUGAUAAGGUAUUCCUCAAAGUAUCGCCGUGGAAGAAAAUUUUGAGAUUUGGUCGGAAGGGAAAAUUAAGUCCGCGCUUUAUUGGGCCGUAUGAGAUUGUGGAAAGAAUUGGGCCUGUUGCUUAUCGAUUAGCCUUACCUCCAAAGUUACAGAAAAUUCAUGAUGUUUUUCAUGUUUUGAUGCUUCGGAGAUUUAGAUCGGAUUCUUCUCAUAUCAUUCCCACUGAAGACAUUGAAAUUCGAUCUGAUUUAACUUAUGAAGAAGAACCAAUUCAGAUAUUAGCACGAGAAGUGAAAGAAUUAAGAAAUAAACGGGUUCCUUUAGUAAAAAUUUUAUGGAGAAGUCAUAGUGUGGAAGAAGCGACUUGGGAACCGGAAGAGACAAUGAGAGCACAAUAUCCUCAUCUCUUCUCAGGUAAAUUUCGAGGACGAAAUUUAUUAAGGGGGAGAAAUGUAAUGACCCAAAAUUCACGGGCAUCGGAAAAGUAUAAUAUCGGGCCUCCGUCUUGAGUUUAAAAAUAAUUAUUAGAAAUAUUUAUGAGACUAGUUGUGUGUUUAAUUAGGUUUUAGAUAGGUGAAUUUGGCUCAAUUAAGAGUAAUUAGCAAAAGGGAUUAAAUUACAAUAGAAGUGAAAAUCUAAUCAUAGAUUAAAAGAAAGUAAAAAGGGCUAAAAUGGCAAUUAAGCCAUUUAAAAUGAUUGAGGCGGCAUAAAGGAAUAAAAUUUAAGAUUUUAUUUAUUUAAUUAUAUAAUUAAUGAUAUUUAUUAUUUAUUAUUAGUUAUUAGUUAUUAUUAAAUUAAAAGAUAUUUAGUAAUUAAAUAAUUAGUAUAAGAUUUUUGGGUAAUAAUAAAUUAUGAUUUUGUCAAGUGUGUGGUAAAAAUAAAAUACAAGUGUAUUAUAUUUAUUUAUUUACUUGAAAAUUAAGUAAAAGAUAAUUGUUAAUUAAAUAAUAAUAUUAUGAGAUUUUUAUUUGAUAAAUUAGUUAGAUUGAGACAAGUGUAUGUAAUGAUUUAAUGCAAGUGUACUAAUAAAAUACAUACAUUUGUAAUAUUUAUAAUUAAUUAAUAUAAUAUAAAGUAAAUGAAAUAAAAUGAAAUAAAAACAAAGCAAAAGAAAGGAAAGAAACAGAAUAGAAGAGACGAAACAGGGGAGAAACAGGGGAGAAAGAAGAAAAAGAAGAAAAUAGGGAAAAUAGGGUUUUUGAAGCUUGAAAUUUAAUUUGGUAAGUCAAAUUAGCCCUUUUCUCUUAAUUCUAAUGUUUUAAAAGCUUUAAAACAAAGUUUUGAUGGAAUUAAGUUGAUAUUUUGUAAGUUCAUAGGUUUUCAAGUAAUGUUUAUGUUGAACAAAAGAGAUGAAUUAAGAAUUAAAUUGAAUGAAUUUUAAGUUAGAAUUGAAAAAGGGAUUAAAUUGUAAAAGAAACUAUAAGUUUUAUGUUUUAGGGACUAAAUUGAGGGAAAUUCGAAAUUAGCAAAAUAUGCUGAAAUUUCGAUAGUUAAAUUUUAGUUUGGAUGAAAUUUGAAUAGAAAUAGAGUGUGAAUUGAAUUAGGAAAGCAAGUGAAUUUAGUUAGGAUUAAAUUGAGAAUUAGGAAGAAAUUGAAUAGAAAUUCAAUUAUUUAUUAUAAUUAGUGCUGUAAUUAAUAUUACAAAUUAUUAUUAUUUUCGUAGCUAACAAAGAACCCGAGGCAUCGGCGUCAAAAGGAAAGGAGAAAGUUAUCGAGGACUAAAACGGGAGAUUUACGGUUUGUAUUACUAUAAUUCAAAUUAUUUAUUUUUAAAUGUUUAAUUUUAAUUUAUGUGUUUAGUAAAUGAAAUGUGCGGUAAGUAUUAUUAUUAUUAUUAUUAUUAGUGGGAAUUAAACUGAAUAUUUGAUAUGAAUUAAUAUUUGAAUUGUUUGUUGAUUGAAAGUGGGAAGUGAAUUUAAAUCGAAUAGUGACUGAUAUUAAAUUGAAUGGAAAUGUAUUGAGUUGUGAAAAUGUGUGAAUUGCGGAUUAAUUAUUGAUUGAAAGGUGGAAAAAUGAUUGAAUUGAAAAUGUGAGAAAUUGUGAUUGAAUUGGGAUUAUAUGUGAUUUAAAUACCCUAUUAACUAGUCGGGCUGAGUCGGAUAUAGUUGGCAUGCCAUAGGAUUGGAAGAGUUCAGGGAUACUUCGACCUCGAGUCGAUGAGACACUGGGUGUCACUAUAUUUUUUCGGAUAGAUUCGAUGAGGUACUGGGUACCAACUUUCUUCAGCUUUGCCGAUGAGACACUGGGUGUCAACUAUUGCUUCGAACUAUCCGAUGAGGCACUGGGUGUCAUACUGGUGUGUUUGGUUGGAUCCGUGUAUCCGCCAAAGUCUGAUUUUUGUUAAUAGGGUAAUUAAUGAAAUGAUAAACCGAACGAGCUACUGAAAUGAAAUGAAAAAGUUGAAUUGUGAAUUGAAAUGUGAAAUGAGAUUGAGAAAUGAACCUAAAGUUCAUGAGAUGUUCAAAUUCAAAUUGUGGAUAUGUGAUAUUGAUUGAUGGAUUGCUAUUGUUGAGAUAUUGAAUUUAAAUUGUAUAUACGAUUUAUGCAUUACAUGUACAUUAUUGUUAUAAUUUGAAUUAUGGUAAUACCACUGAGUAUGAAUUACUUAGCGUACGGUUGUUUCCGUGCGCAGGUCGAUAGAAGUCAAAGGUCUCGGUUCAGCAUCCAGAUUAAUCCCGGCUUCAGCAUAACUUUGGUGAUGUAUAUUUUCUUUUGGUAAUGUGGCAUGUACAUAGGAAUUAUAAGUUUUAUAUAAAUGGUUAAAAAUGUUAGUAUUAUAAGUUUAUGAAUUAUAAUGAAAGAAGUUUAUCUAUUUUAAUCUAAUUAGUCAAUGGAUAAAUUUAAAUUGAUAUUAUGUUAAUUGAGUUUGAUUAGAAGUAUUUAGAAUAGAAAAUGUGAAUGUGAAAUGAAUUGGUUGAUUUGGUUAUAUUUGAAAAUGUUAUGGAUUUUAAUUGUAGGGGGUUGUAUGUAAAAAUAAGCAGAAGUGCUGCCGAAAUUUUUCGAAAAAAAAUGAAUGAAGUCUAUUAGCGAAAUUUAUAUGAAUUUAUUACUCUCUUAUAUAUGUUCGUUAAUUGUUUAUGAAUUAUUUGGAAUUUGUCUGAAAUGUCCGGUAAUGCCUCGUAACCCUAUUCUGGCAACAGUUCGGGGUUAGGGGGUGUUACAACAUCAUCCUAAUACCCAACGACUGAUAGUGUUGUUCCAUUUCCCACAAGAAGUUGUCCACUUCUCUAGUGGACCUUCCCCCUCAAACUUCUCUGGUUUGGGAACAUCCAUCUUCCGUUGAUUUGGUCUCGAAGCCAACAUCUUAUUGCUCAAAUUAGCCUUAUAGAUUGUGAGCUCCCCCUUAAGCUCCUCAAUUUUUUCUUUCAAGGUCAUCAUUGUGGCCUCAAGAGCAUCAUCCGUCACGGUCAACUUAUCCACAAUGGAACUAAGCAUCCAUUGCAUCACUUCCACAUUAGAACCGAGAGACUCCAAGAUAAAUUCCUUGAAUUUCUCCUUCAUCGAGUUUAACUCAUUGGUGCGUCGCUCAACUACCUUGAGUGUCUCCCCCAUAUCUCCAAUAGGCUCCUCAAGAUUGGUCACUUGAAUUGCCAAAGCCGACAGCAUUUCCCUCGAUCAAUUAGCUUUGCUAGAGCUCCCGUGGGUCUCCAUAGGCUUAAUUUGAUCUUCUACUCCUUUUGUCAUCUCAAGUGGCACUUUCAAAACCUUAGCUCUAAUACCAACUAUCACAGGGGUAGAACUUUAGUCUCACAAUCCGUGCGACCUUAGGCAAAUUCUUAGGUUCAAAUCCGCCUAAGUUAGUCUAACUCUUGCAAAGUGAAAAAUCUUGAUAGAAAUUCUCUAAGGUGCAAAAAAUAAAGUGAAAGUAAAUCAAAACAAAAGAACAAAAAAUGCCACAAGAAAGCAAAGUACAUCAAGUGUUUGAGUAAAUGUUCUCAAAGUAUUCUAUUACUCUGGAAAUAAUACAAAAAAUAGGAUAGGAUACAAUGGAAUAUUACAAAUGAGGGAGAAUGCCUCUAUUUAUACUUGAGCUCCCCAAGCCAACGAUAUAGAUUGAGUUACAUUAAUGAUUGAGAUUAAAUCCUAUCUACAAUUGAGAUUCUUAAAGGAUUGACUUAAUCUUUUAAGAUUAUAAAAUCAAGUCUUAUCAUGUUACAUAUCUUCUAAGAUUGGUUUCCUUAUUUGCCAAUAUAGCCCUAAUUUUCCAUAAAUGCUUCACUGGACUAUCAAUGCUUCAAGUAGACAGGCUUCUCCAUAUGCUCCACAAAUCGGGCCAGUUCAAAUGCGUCGAAUGAGCCAUGUUUCAUCAUUUGACCUCCAUGGGACAAUCCUUGGCAUUCAUCACGGGCUCUGAUCCGUGACCCAUGACAUAAGCACAUAAAUGUUUAGUAAGUUUAAUUGACAAGUAUUAUACUUAUCUUGCUAGGUGGACCUACAAAUUCAUUGCUCAACAAGCUUCAUAUUCUCGUAUUAGUUACUUAGCAUAAGAUAAGGAAAAUGUGUAGGUAACCAUGUUCAUUAAGUCUAUACAAGCAAAUUAUAACAUGUCCAAUAAGUGUUCAUUAUAUUCUAUUGAUCACAUGUGCACCUAUUUCCACUUUAUUACUACCUUUCAAUUCCAAUUUACGAGUUAAGAUAAUCAAGUUCAUACCUUUUUCAACCUUAAUUCUUUUCUUUAACCAUUUCUUGUCCAAUUUCAAUUUUGUAGCCCAUGUAAUCUUAGUAAAAUAGGACUCGGCUACUAUGAGAAAACCAAAAAUGCUAAGCCCAAAGGCCAUCACAUAUCAUAUCAUGUAGGCCUCCGAAGAGGUAUUGAAAGUCUAAUGGUCUAUAACAAAUGUUCUACCAAGGGUAAGCUAGAACUGGGUUUUCAGAAAACAAACCACAUACCUCUGAACCUCACACCACAACAAAUGUACUUAAGUGUAAGGCACAAAGGCAACAUAUAACAAAUAGGUUCAAAGGCGACAUACACAUAUAACUCUAAUUGACAUGUCAAUCGUAUCCUAACCUUUCUACCAAGUUUACAUAAGCUAUCAUUAACAUACUAAAGAAUUCACAUUUAAGUACCAUUAAGGCAAUUUUUCAUAUGUAUCGUCAUAUUUCCAUAAUGCCACACUUUAAUCACAAGAGUUAAGAUCUUCAAUUGAGGUUUUCAUACCACAUGAAUUUACGUGUUUGUUUAUUCACGUUAACAUGGUUACGUAUAUCAUAAUCAUACUAAAUCUUAACUUGACAUAGUCAAUUACCAUAUUUAACACGUUCUUUCAUAUUUAAUUCUUUGCAUAACAUAGUUCAGUAUAUAAACAUAUUAACUAGUAUAUUCCAUUAAGGUUCUGUUAAUAUACUCAUUAAUUAAUCGUCCAUUCAUGAUCUUAACAUGUUAUAUUCAUUAUGCAUCAAAUUAAAUGUUGUUGAGCUAUUUAACACCUAUAAACAUUGUACUAAAGACACAUAAUAAGCAAAUAUUGUAAGUUCAAGUGAACUUACCUAUUAAGAUCAUUUAAUGAUCAUCAAUUUAAAUUUUCAUUUCCUUAACUUAAGAUUCUACUCAAAAUACACACAACACAUACAAGCAUUGAAUUAAUAAUUUGAAUCUCCUUUGGUUAGUCUUACAAGCAUUGGAUUAAUUGAAUUCAACACUUGAUAGCCAUAUAGUGGCCAUUUUACUUGUUGAAAAUUCAAGAAUGCUUAACCUUUGAGCCUUAGACUUUUAUAUCCAAAAUUGAUAUAACUCGUAAUUUUCCUAUUCAAUUUUUGUUCCAACUUUAAAGUUAUAAUUUCAAGACCUCAAAUGAUCCAAAAACAUGUUUAAACUCCAAAGUUCUCAUAAUUAUCUCUAAGGCUUCUUAAGUACUCAACAAUGGUGGUAUGAACAUCCUUUAACCAAUUUUUAAUCCACCUUCUUUUCUAACUUACACUCUUCUAAGUUCAUCCCAACAUAAGCAUUGAACUAUCAUGAUCAAGCUUCAUCUCUUUCAGUUCCAAGCAUUCAUCUAUGAUUAUCUAAGGAUUUUUCUCAUCAAUUUUAACAUCGAAAAUGAAUGGGCUCAUGCUUAUCUAUUAUUUUAUGCUAUCAAUUAAACCAAAAUUCAAAGGAAACUUAUCAAUUUCUUGAAGAGCAACUCACGGCACCAUGAAACCUCCAUGAAAAUUUUCUUUUUCUUCUUUGUUCUUAAACCAUGGAGAAUGGAUGAGGAUGACCACAUAAUAAGCUUAUUCUCCCACCCACUAAGUAUAUAUAUACCUAAUUAAUCAAUUUAUUAACCUUUAAUAAUAAUCAUCCAAUGUUGGGAUUUAAGCAUGGCAAAUUGAGCGGAAAUGUAUGGCUUUUACCAUGCUUCUCCACUAAGUAAAUAAAUGAUGGUUUAUUUGUCAUUUUAAGGCAUUUGAUUAAUUUUUCAUCCAAUCCUCCAAACCUUGCUAGUGCAUAUUUAGAUCUUAUGCAUCAAUUACUAAUUUAUCAAUUUAAUCCCUUUAAUAAUUCUCGACAAUAUUUCAUAUCUACUUCAUUAACUUCUCGAUUAAUAAUAAAUUUUUGAAACGGCUUGAUCGAGAAAUCGAAUUAUUCCUAUCACAGCGAAAAAUAGAUCAUCAAACUAUUUUAAUUUGAUUUAUUAAUGUCUUUUCCAAAUUCGUAUUUAAUUAAUAAAUAUUCCACAAUAACCUUCAUUAAUUGAUAAUUUUUCCUUGUAUUAUAGGAGAUUUAUAAAUAUUCAUAUUGUAGCAUAAGUAAACUCAAUUUAAAGUGCACAAGGAAAUAGUCAAAUAUCUCAAACUUCAAGAGCCUUUAAUUAAGCCACAAUGUGUUCGCACACUCUAUUAACACUAGUGAAUUUCAUUAAUUAUAAUUUGAUCAUUAGAGUACUAGCUAAAAUUUUAUCCCAAGAUUCAAAUUGUCUUUCAAUAAAUCCUCGACAAUUUUGUGGUCUCUAACUCAAAAUUUUUUUACUUUUGUGAUAUUCGUAAAGAACAACUUCAGCAAGUAAUUCAUCUUUAUGAAUAGUCAUCACUAAUUAAAUCAUGCAUAUUAAAUUUGAUAUCAGAAAAGCUUACAAGUCGCAUCAUAAAUACAUAAUUGUGAUAUAUUUGAAUGGUUUUCCACCUCAGCAUAGGCUUAUUUUAGAGUAAAUUUGUAUGCAUUUUAGGGAAAAAUACCAAAAAAACCAAUUUUUUUUUAAAUUUACCGAAAUGGGCUCAGUAUUUUAUUAUUUACCGGAAUGGGCAUUUUCCCCGAAACCGCGUCCACGUCAGCACGAUGUCAAGGUACGUGCCAGGAAAUCGCGGCCACGUCAGCGCGCUUUGCUGACAUGGCAACAAAUCGCGUCCUCUAAAGCGCGAUUUGUGUCCACGUCAGCAAAACGCUCUGACGUGGACGCGAUUUCCUGGCACGUACCCUGACAUCGUGCUGAUGUGGAUGCAAUUUCGCCGUGUCUCCCACGUUAGGGUUUUUAGGGGUUUUAGGGCUUUUGGAGAAAAAAGUAAACAAAUAAGGGAUUAGGGUUAAGGGUUUCGUAAUUAAAUUAAUUAAAUUUUAUUCAAAAUUGGAUUACGUUUCGUGUUUAUGGGUUUUUAAGAUAAAAUCAAAGCAGGAUGAUUUAUCAGAAGGAUUUUUGAAGUCGCACCCACGUGUACGCGCUUUUGCUACAGUAGGUCUUGGGAAAAUAAUUUCGACUUGAUGUUUUUGAGCAAAUAGUUUAAAAAACAUUUCAAGCAGAAUGCUUUGUGAGAAGAAUUUGUGAAAUCGCGCCGUCGUGGACGCGCUUUUACUACAGUUGGUCCUAAAAGAAAUAAUUUCGAGUUGAUGUUUUUGAGCAAAUAGUUUAAAAAACGCUUCAAACAGGAUGCUUUAUAAUAAGAAUUUGUGAAGUCGUGCCCACGUGGAUGCGCUUUUGCUACAGUAGGUCCUAAAAAAAUAAUUUUGAGUUAACGUUUCUGAGCAAAUAAUAUAAAACAACGCUGCAAGUAGCAUGCUAUUUGAGAAGAAUUUGUGAAAUUGUGCCCUCGUGAACGUGCUUUUGCUACAGUUGGUCCUGGAAAAAUAAUUUUGACUUGACGUUUCUGAGCAAAUAGUAUAAAAUCGAUUCUAGAAGGAUGCUUUAUGAGAAGAAUUUGUGAAAUCACGCCCACGUGGACGCGCUUUUGCUACAGUAACAUGUUUGGGCUGAGGCUAUAAAUGAGGCAAAAAAUGUUCUGAGAUUGCAUAAGUCACAGCAAAAACAAUUUAGAGAGGCUAAGAAGGUUAGAGUUUCAAAUAUGAGUGAACGUAUUAGUGCUGUUAUUUACUACAGUGGUGAGGUUUGCCACACUGAGAAUGGUGUUGUUUUUUUGUCGAAGAAUACGGUGCGACUGGUUUUUAACCAAAACAUAGAUUUGACAGAACUUCGUAAAAGAAUUAGGCGUAAAAUUUUCGAAACGACGCCAAUGAAAGUUCUGUCUAUUACAUAUCGAUUUUGUUCCUCUGUUGAUCCGGUGACAUAUGACUCGUUCGACAUAAAAGGUGAUCGUAGCUUGGAGGCAAUUGUGCAGACUCAUCUUGCUAGUCGAGCACAUUAUAUUGAGUUAUAUGUACAAUUUACAUUGCCAAAUGAUGUACUUGCGACCAGUGUUCGAGAUGUAUACACGACCCCUGGCCAACAUUCGGUUAGCGGGUUAGAAAACACGAAACAGCCCAUGUUUGGUAGUGGUGUUGAAUGCACAUCCCCCGCAGGACCUCUGUCGGUGGAUGGGACAUGUACGUCGGUGGUUCGAUGUUUGAUGCUGGAAAUACGUACUGGGGAACGUCAUCAAGUUCUAGUGAUUAACAAUCUACAUCCAAUUGGGGACGUUAUGAAAUGCCCAGAAAAAAGGAUGAUGUACUCCCUACGACGUCAAUUGGUGAGGGGACCUCAUACGCUGCAGAUGAUUAUGGGUUAGAAGAUGACUCCGAUGUGGAUCUACCUCGAGAGCUCGGGCCUGAUGGUGUAGAAGUUGGCUUAUUUUCUGAACCGGAGUCUAUUCCAACAAAACUUGAAGAUGCUGAAAGGAGUUCAGAUGAAGAAGAAAAUCCACGAUUCAGAGCAUACUCACCUUCAGCCCACAUGCAUAAUGUCGAUCUGUCUGCAGAUGAUACAUUAGAGUUUCCAGAUCUACCACACUGGUUGCGUGAUCGUACCAGUUCAGGGCUAGAUUCAGGUGAAUUUUAAGUUGGUAAUCAGUUUACCAACAAGGAUAGUUUUAUUGGUGUUUUGAAACAACAUAGCAUCAAAAAAUGCGUUAACUACCACGUCGUUAAAUCCAAAUCUGAUAAGUUUGAAGCGAAAUGUACGGUGCAAUAUGGCACAUGUUCAUGGAAAAUCUACGCUUCGUUAAGGAAAAAGACAGGGUUGUGGGAGAUUAAAAAGUACAAAGGUCCACAUACAUGUGCUGCAGGUACAAUAUUGACGGUAUCUGAAUAAUACUUUUAUUAUGUAAUGUUGCAUUAUUUAAUGUAAUCCGUUUAUAGGUGUUUCACAAAAUCAUCCGAAGAUGGAUUCAGCUAUGUUAGCUAGCUUGAUACUGCCCACGGUAAAAGCAGAUUCCAGGAUUUUAGUACCGGUGUUAAUUGCCAAUAUUCGUAGCCAAAUGGGGUACACGCCCUCUUACCGUAAGGCUUGGAUAGCUAAGAAAAAGGCGUUGAAGAAGAUGCAUAGUUGGUGAGACGCCUCAUAUACUGAAAUAUGACAGUGGUGUCAAGUGCUAGAGAGAUACGUCCAAGGUGCCUCACAGACCUUGAAACGGAACAUGCGUACUACAACGGCCAAUUGCUACGUGGAUGCCAAGUGUUCAAACGUCUGUUUUGGACCUUUAAGUAAUGCCAAGACGCAUUUCCAAGCUGCAAGACAUUGGUACAAAUUGACAGUACCUUUAUGUUUGGUAGGUAUACUCAUCGGCUAUUGCUUGCAGUGGUACAGGAUAGCGGUGGGAGAAUUCUUCCAAUUGCAUUUGCAAUAACACCGGGGGAGUCGUCUGAUGACUAGGAUUUCUUUCUCUCUAGGUUAAGGAGGCAUGUGUGCCUCCAACCUGAUAUCUGUGUUAUUUCAGAUCGGGGCACCGGUAUACUAGUUGCAUUUGAUCGACAGGGAAGCUUAUGGCAGUGCACACACCAUCGAUAUUGCGUAAGACACGUUGCUUCCAACUACUACAGGCAAUACCCAUCUAAGAGCGAACGACGACAAGUGACCAACAUGGGUAUUUAGUCUAUAUCUGUGUUAUUUCGUUUCUCAAUUUGAAUUAGUUUUAUUAGUAGAAGUUGUAUGUAAUAUUCGCUAUGAACUUAUAUUGGCAGGGUAUGAAAUAAAUAAAUAUCGUUUCCACGAGAUGUUGGCAACUUUACGUUCAAUUAACGGAGAAGGGGCAGACUACCUUUGUAACAUACGUUUCGAACAGUAGGCACAAGCAUACGACGGCGGCCUACGAUAUGGCCAUAUGACGUCAAACCUGGCUGAAUGCAUAAAUUCUAUUCUUAAAGGAACAUAUUUUCGUUCAGCGACGCUAUUUCCAAAGCGAGCAGCAAGUUAUGCAGGCCAGAUGCAGGGAGGACAUGUAUGGUGCAGUAAGGUAGUUUAAGAAAUUAACAAGGCCAAGGCGCAGGCAAACACCAUGCACACAGUGUGUCACGAUCGAGACAACUUAUGGUUUCACGUGACAGAGUUUGACAGACCGCACCAAGGUGUUGUUGGCGGACAAUAUCGUGUACACUUGCGAAAUAGGACUUACAACUGUGGGAUGUUUGAUGCACUUCGUUAUCCAUGCGCUCAUGUUAUUGCAGCUUGUCAGAAUCUCCGUCUAGAUCCGAUAAAUUGUGUGGACGAAGUGUACAAAUUAGAAAACAUGUACAACGUCUGGAGACUCGUUUUUCCACUGGUCCCAGAUGAACGUAAGUGGCCCCCCGUAUCUCUUUCUCAUUUUAAGCUGUUACCGGAUAGAGAAUUACGUCGUAAACCAGAGGGUCGACCUUGCUCGACUAGAAUACAUAACAAUAUGGAUAUCCGAGAAACAGUCAAUCAACAUAAGUUGUGCAGAUGGUGUAGGAAUCCAGGCCAUACAAGUCGAUCAUGCCCUAAUCGCAAUAGUUGAAUGUAAUUUUUUUAAAAAAAAUUAUAUUUUUUCAAUUAUUAACUGAUAAUUGUAUUAAUUGUUAGUAAAAUUAUCAAAUUAUAUCAAAUAAUUAAUUGUUAGUAUCAGUCAAAACAUUUUUUCAAAUCUAACAUUAUGUGAAUAUAAAAUUAUUAACUGAUAAUUGUAUUAAUAUUAGUAAAAUUAUCAAAUUAUAUUUAAGUUAAGGGUUAGGGUUUUUAAGUUAAGGGUUAAGGGUUAAGGAUUUUAAAGUUAAGGGUCUAGGGUUUUAAAGUUAAGGGUUUAGGGUUUUUAGGUUAAGGGUUAGGGUUUUUAGGUUUAGGGUUUAUGGUUUUUAAUUUAAGGGUUAUGGUUUUUAAGUUAAAGGUCUAGGGUUUUAAAGUUAAGGGUCUAUGGUUUUAAAGUUAAGGGUUAGGGUUUUUAGGUUAAGGGUUUAGGGUUUUUAAGUUAAGGGUUAGGGUUUUUAAGUUAAGGGUUUAUGGUUUUAAAGUUAAGGGUCUAUGGUUUUAAAGUUAAGGUUUAAGGUUUUUAGGUUAAGGGUUAUGGUUUUUAGGUUAAGGUUUAGGGUUUUUAAUUUAAGGGUUAGGGUUUUUAAGUUAAAGUUUAGGGUUUUCAGGUUAAGGGUUAGGGUUUUUAGGUUAAGGUUUAGGGUUUAGGGUUUUUAAUUUAAUGAUUAUGAUUUUUAAGUUAAGCGUUUAGGGUUUUUAAGUUAAGGGUCUAAGGUUUUAAAGUUAAGGUUUAGGGUUUUCAGGUUAAGGGUUAGGGUUUUUAGGUUAAAUGUUUAGGGUUUUAAUUUAAGGGUUAAGGUUUUUAAGUUAAGGGUUUAGGGUUUUUAAGUUAAGGGUCUAUGGUUUUAAAGUUAAGGUUUAUGGUUUUUAGGUUAAGGGUUAGGGUUUUUAGGUUAAGGGUUUAAGGUUUUUAAGUUAAGGGUUUAGGGUUUAAAAGUUAAGGUUUAGGGUUUUUGGGUUAAGAGUUAGGGUUUUAGGUUAAGGGUUUAGGGUUUUUAAUUUAAGGGUUAGGGUUUUUAAGUUAAGGGUUUAUGGUUUCUAAGUUAAGGGUCUAUGGUUUAAAAGUUAAAGUUUAGGGUUUUUAGGUUAAGGGUUAGGGUUUUAUGUUAAAGAUUUAGGGUUUUAAAUUUAAGGAUUAGUGUUUUUAAGUUAAGGGUUUAGGGUUUUAAGUUAAGGGUCUAAGGUUUUAAACUUAAGGGUUAUGGUUUUUAGGUUUAGGGGUUAUGGUUUUUAAUUUAAGGGUUUAUGGUUUUUAAUUUAAGGGUUUAGGGUUUUUAAUUUAAAAGUUUAGGGUUUUUUAAGUUAAGGGUUUAAGGUUUUAAGGUUAAGGGUUAAGGUUUUUAGGUUAAGGGGUUAGGGUUUUAAAGUUAAUGGUUAGGGUUUUUAGGUUAAUGGUUUAGGGUUUUAAAGUUAAAGGUUAAUGAGUUAGGGUUUUUUGGUUAAGGGUUUAAGGUUUGUUAAUUAAAUUAUGCAUUUAAUUAUAAAUUAUAAAUUUAUAAAUUUUUAAUAAGUUAAGCGUUUAGGGUUUUUAAGUAGUAACUCAAAAAAAUUUCUAUUUUUAUUACAUCAAAAAAUAUCAAAAUAUUCAAAAUAUUUGUACAAAUAAAUUUAAAUACAAAAAUCAAUGUCUAUGCCCGCGGGAUUCAGUGCCACAUGGCAGCCGUCGACAGUUACGCGCUGGAUUCCUCCUUGUCCAGCUUUUGGCGGCGAUUAUAGUUCUUCCGGCGGCGGUUGUGGUUCUUCCGGCGGGGAUUCUGGUUCUUCCAGUAGGGCAUCUGGUUGUCGGAGUUGUGACGAUGAGCCACCUUGAUAGAAUUGUGAAUGUGGAGGUGUUUGCAUCACCAACGGCAACGGUGUUUGAAACCCAUACGGUGGUGGGGAUUGGUAAAAAGAAGAGCUCCCCGACGGCCCCUCUUGCGAUCCCUCGUGCGUCGCUGGCCUAUACAUCGGCGGUCGACUCGGCGUAACAGAAAUAGAGCUGAACCGGGCCAUUGGCUCCAACCUGCCAUAGGACUCGAAAAAGGAAACAUAUAAGGGUUAGGAUACAUAAAAGGGCUAGGAAACGCACCUGGCAUCAUCUGAAAAGGCGGUUGCGUGGGUAUCAUUGGUUGAACUGCUGGGUCGGGUGAAUGUCUGGGAGUCGUUGAAGGGCCAGCGUCGUCGUCCUGUCGUCUUGGAUUUAAAGGAUCGCGUCUUUCCCUUUGGACACGUAAUUGCCGCUGCCUCUCCUCUAGCGAUAGUAAAUACGGCUUGCCAUGGAUCCUAAACCAUGGCAUGCAUUCCGGCAUGCACGCUAACUCCGGAACGAUGAUCGGUUCCAUACUAGGUAUAUAGUCAUACCGAUCUUCCCACAUUUGGAUGUACUUGAACCAGAAUCUCGGCCAAUCCGUAUUCAAUUACCGAAGGUCGAUUUUGUGGUGAUCGUCAAACAUCUCAAGUUCCAUGGAAAUCGGUUGUCUACAUCCAAAUUGCCAUAACACCCUGUCUGACUGGUGCAUCUCCACGGUCGCGUAGUUGAUCAACGCGACUUUCGCCUGCCAAGCGUUUGGAUUUUGUAAGAACUCUUUCGGAAUUACUGCCCAAAUUGCCGGAUCCUCAUAUGGUGUCCAUUGAAACUAUAUGAAAAUGAUAGAAAUAUUAAUUAUAUACAUAAUACUAAAUACUAAAUACCAAUCGACUAGCGAAUGAUGGAAAUAUCAAUUUUAUUUAAUACUUACAUGUGCUUCCGACUAUUGGUCUAAUAGAAGCCGUAUAUCUUCAAGAGAGGUAGGUAAUCGAGCAUGACUUGCCGGAUGGUUCCACCUAAUUAAAUAAAUUUUUAGCAUACUUUUAUUUUUAAAAAUCUACAUAAUAAUUGUAAAAUCUAAUAUAAAAUUUACCUCGUUAUCAGUGGGAAUGUAUAUGGGUGGUCCACUCGAGGAUGUAGAAAUGAAAAGCGAAACCGUGCCCAUGAUUGCAGUAGGGACAGGCAACCUCCGAUUUUUGCUUUCCUCGGUCGCAUCGCCCCGUACAUCUCCUUAUAUAACGUUGUCAAGACGGCAGACCCCCAACUUAAUUCACCAGCUGCUCUAAAAUCAACGAGUUGCAGCAGCCAUCUUAGAUGUACGCGGCUCCGUGACAAGUCAGGCAUCAGAUAACCUCCAAUUAACUGAAGAAUGCAUGCCCGAGCAUAUCGGAUUCUUUCUAUUUCGGUUGAAUCUUCAUCCGGAUCCGGGAAUGUGUCUCGAAACCAGCCCAUCUCGAUCUUACCUCCCUCCAUUUUCUCCAGAAUAGCGCCCAAAAGCUCGUAGCACACCGCAAGCCAAUCGCUAGAUUGGGUAGACCCGGUGACUGGGUACCCGUCCACCGGCAAUCCCAAUUGUAGACUGACAUCUUCCAAAGUGAUAGUGCACUCUCUACAUCUUAAAUAAUAUUUAAAAAUUAAAUUUAACGCUUACCAUUUUCAUUUGUUCCACCGAUAUGUGAUGCUUAUCAAGACGAGUCAAUUCUUCGGCCAUUGCUGAAAUCGUACAAAUUUUUAAUGUUUAAAAAAAUUUUAAAAAAGUAAAAUUAUUUAAAAAAAGAGAUUUAAAAGAAAUUUAAGAGGAACUUGGGAGUAAAUUGAAAAUAAAUAUGAAUUUGAGAGAAAUUUUAAAGGAAUUUGAAAGCAAAAGAGUGGGGGUAUUUAUAGUUUUUUUUUUACCGUUCGGGGGGGCAAUGGUCAAUUUUUUGACCGUUGCACUGUUCACGUACGGGGCAAAUCGCAACCACGUCAGCGCGAUUUGCUGACGUGGACACAAAUCGCAUCCUCUGAAGCAGAAUUUGUUGCCACGUCAACGCGCUAUUUGCUGGCACAUACCCUGACAUCGCGCUGACGUGGACGCAAUUUCGAGAAAAAAUGGCCAUUUCGGUAAAUAAUAAAAUACCGGGCCCAUUUCGAUAAAUUUAAAAAAAAAUAGACUUUUUUUAGUAAAUUGCCCUACGUUUUAGUCUUGUUACAAUAUCCAAGUCUAAUGCCAAUAUUGAAGUAUACCGUAAUAGUAAUUAUUCUCUCUAUCUAGUACUCGAAACUGGUUUUAAAUAUCUUCCAUUCACUCGACAAAUAGUUAUGGUCUAAAUAAAUUUCUGGAAUUCAUGGCUGCCUACUUGCGAGAGGAUUAAUGAAAUAUGCGAUGCAAGUUGAUGAAAUCUUAUUAUUUGUAAUAUAAAAAACAAAACCCAUGCAUCCUUAAUAACAUAAAAAAAACACAUUCCAUAAUCAACAUCUGAGAAUUUAAAACUUAAUUGUAAUGUUGGCUGAACAAGACUCAAAAAGGGGAGAAAAGAAAAAUAAGUCCGAACCUGAAAAAAGUGACCGUAUAAAAAACCCUGACAGGCAGAACAGUAGCAAGCAACAUAAAACCAAGACAUAUUAUCACUUAAAGCACUUGGCAUCCAAGAGAGGCUCUCCCUCAAAUGGCUCGCAGUCUUCAAUCAUCUGAUUCACCCGUUCCUUCUGGGCUGCAUCUGACAGGUCAACCUUCUUCCACUCGUAGAGUUCCAUGUCAUAGCACUCGUCAAUCACAAAUUGAGGAAUCUCUUGCCCACGGAAAAGCCAUAGUCCUUUCACCUUGAAUGGAG
RNAcentral lists this long non-coding RNA (42472 nucleotides) under Gossypium barbadense (sea-island cotton). RNAcentral's name for it is "long non-coding RNA (GBAR_LNC021482)". The stretch from base 34057 to 34143 matches the Rfam family "MIR7486 microRNA precursor family". The record is from RNAcentral. Lineage: Eukaryota; Viridiplantae; Streptophyta; Magnoliopsida; Malvales; Malvaceae.